CGUGUAGGCGGUCAGGUAAGUAGAAUGUGAAAUGCCCCGGCUCACCCGGGGACCGGCAUCCCAAACUGCCUGGCUUGAGUAUGGGAGAGGAUGGAGGAAUUCCUGGUGUAGCGGUGAAAUGCGUAGAUAUCAGGAGGAACACCGGUGGCGAAGGCGUCCAUCUGGCCCAAUACUGACGCUGAGGCGCGAAAGCUAGGGGAGCAAACG
Molecule: ribosomal RNA, 207 nt
Filed under: uncultured Latescibacterota bacterium
Lineage: Bacteria; Pseudomonadati; Candidatus Latescibacterota
Description: uncultured Latescibacteria bacterium partial 16S ribosomal RNA
Rfam family: Bacterial small subunit ribosomal RNA
Source: RNAcentral